AGGUCAAGUGAAGAAGGGCGCACGGUGAAUGCCUUGGCACUGGAAGCCGAUGAAGGACGCGACUAACCGCGAAAGUCUUCGGGGAGCCGUAAGUAGGCUUUGAUCCGGAGGUCUCCGAAUGGGGGAACCCAGCAUGUGCAGACAUGCUAUCCUUAAGUGAAUACAUAGCUUAAGGAGGGAACACGCAGUGAACUGAAACAUCUAAGUAGCUGCAGGAAGAGAAAGAAAUAUCGAUUUCCCAAGUAGCGGCGAGCGAACAGGAAAGAGCCCAAACCGUCAGAUUUAUCUGCCGGGGUUGUAGGACUGAGACAUGGCACUUCAGAGGAUAGCAGAAGCGUUUGGGAAAGCGCGCCAGAGAGGGUGAGAGCCCCGUAAGCGAAAUCCAAAGAAGGCCUAUCAGUAUCCUGAGUAGGGCGGGACACGUGAAAUCCCGUUUGAAUCCGCGAGGACCAUCUCGCAAGGCUAAAUACUAACCAGUGACCGAUAGUGAACCAGUACCGUGAGGGAAAGGUGAAAAGAACCCCGGGAGGGGAGUGAAAGAGAACCUGAAACCGUGUGCCUACAAGUAGUCAGAGCCCGUUAACGGGUAAUGGCGUGCCUUUUGUAGAAUGAACCGGCGAGUUGCGUUAGUCAGCAAGGUUAAGUCAGAAAAGACGGAGCCGUAGCGAAAGCGAGUCUGAAUAGGGCGAGCAGUUGGCUGACGCAGACCCGAAACCAAGUGACCUACCCAUGACCAGGUUGAAGGCGCGGUAAAACGCGCUGGAGGACCGAACCCACGUAAGUUGAAAAUUGCGGGGAUGAGUUGUGGGUAGCGGUGAAAUUCCAAACGAACUUGGAGAUAGCUGGUUCUCUCCGAAAUAGCUUUAGGGCUAGCCUCGCAAAGAGGAUGCUGGAGGUAGAGCUCUGUUUGGACUAGGGGCCCGUCAAGGGUUACUGAAUUCAGAUAAACU
RNAcentral lists this ribosomal RNA (950 nucleotides) under Lactobacillus delbrueckii subsp. bulgaricus. Its description in RNAcentral is "partial 23S ribosomal RNA". It matches the Rfam family "Bacterial large subunit ribosomal RNA", at positions 1 to 955 of the family's 2925-position model. Lineage: Bacteria; Bacillati; Bacillota; Bacilli; Lactobacillales; Lactobacillaceae. The record is from RNAcentral.